UACGUAGGGGGCAAGCGUUGUCCGGAUUUAUUGGGCGUAAAGAGCGUGUAGGCGGUUAUGCAGGUUCGCUGUGAAAACUGGAGGCUUAACCUCCAGACGUCGGUGGAAACCGUAUGACUAGAGUCCGGAAGAGGAGAGUGGAAUUCCUGGUGUAGCGGUGAAAUGCGCAGAUAUCAGGAAGAACACCCGUGGCGAAGGCGGCUCUCUGGGACGGUACUGACGCUGAGACGCGAAAGCGUGGGGAGCGAACAGG
Molecule: ribosomal RNA, 253 nt
Filed under: uncultured bacterium
Lineage: Bacteria
Description: partial 16S ribosomal RNA
Rfam family: Bacterial small subunit ribosomal RNA
Source: RNAcentral